CAGUAGCCGCGGUAAUACGGAGGGAGCUAGCGUUGUUCGGAAUUACUGGGCGUAAAGCGCACGUAGGCGGAUCGAUCAGUCAGGGGUGAAAUCCCAGAGCUCAACUCUGGAACUGCCUUUAAUACUGUCGAUCUGGAGUAUGGAAGAGGUGAGUGGAAUUCCGAGUGUAGAGGUGAAAUUCGUAGAUAUUCGGAAGAACACCAGUGGCGAAGGCGACUCGCUGGACAAGUAUUGACGCUGAGGUGCGAAAGCGUGGGGAGCAAACAGGAUUAGAUACCCGCGUAGUCCCUGUCUCUUAUAC
This 301-nucleotide ribosomal RNA is filed under the name uncultured bacterium. RNAcentral's name for it is "partial 16S ribosomal RNA". It matches the Rfam family "Bacterial small subunit ribosomal RNA", at positions 509 to 807 of the family's 1533-position model. The record is from RNAcentral.